AUUGAACGCUGGCGGCAGGCCUAACACAUGCAAGUCGAACGAGUGGCGGACGGGUGUGUAAUGUCUGGGAACCUGCCUGAUGGAGGGGGAUAACUACUGGAAACGGUAGCUAAUACCGCAUACCAUCAGAUGUGCCCAGAUGGGAUUAGCUUGUUGGUGGGGUAACGGCUAACAAGGGCGACGAUCCCUAGCUGGUCUGAGAGGAUGACCGGCCACACGGGAACGGGGACAGGGUCCAGACUCCUACGGGAGGCAGCAGUGGGGAAUAUUGCACAAUGGGCGCAAGCCGGAUGCAGCCAGGCGGCGUGUAUGAAGAAGGCCUUCGGGUUGUAAAGUACUUUCAUCGGGGAGGCGUUACCCGCAGAAGAAGCACCGGCUAACUCCGUGCCAGCAGCCGCGGUAAUUC
This 406-nucleotide ribosomal RNA is filed under the name uncultured bacterium. RNAcentral's name for it is "partial 16S ribosomal RNA". It matches the Rfam family "Bacterial small subunit ribosomal RNA", at positions 30 to 526 of the family's 1533-position model. The record is from RNAcentral.